GCCAAUUCCGACACAGUCACGAAAAAUGACGAAAUUGGCCCCGGCACGAUUUUUGUUUUCGAUCAACAAAUCAAAUUUCAGCCAACUCCGACACAGUCGCGAAAAAUGACGAAAUUACACCCGAUACGGUUUUUGUUCCCGAUAAACCUGUCAAAUUUGAGCCGAUUCCGUCAUAGUCGAGAAAAAUGACAAAAUUGCC
RNAcentral lists this long non-coding RNA (199 nucleotides) under Olea europaea (common olive). Its description in RNAcentral is "long non-coding RNA (OEUR_LNC012296)". The record is from RNAcentral. Lineage: Eukaryota; Viridiplantae; Streptophyta; Magnoliopsida; Lamiales; Oleaceae.